CUCUGAUUUUUUCUCUCCACUUGAUUUUAUGAAAUUGAUGAAGAAACCUCGAUCCUAUCACUUCGAAUCCAAUUUGAUCUGAUAGUCAAACUUUGGAUCAUUUAGGUCCUAAUUAGAUUUUGAUUAGAUAAAAUUAGAUGAUCGGACCCAAUCUAAAUCGUUGAAAUAUGGUAUUCGUAUUCUUUCUAAUUAUUGAAAUUGAUUCUGUAUAGGAUUGUGAAUGUUUGAUCAUGGGAUAUCG
Molecule: long non-coding RNA, 241 nt
Filed under: Elaeis guineensis (African oil palm)
Lineage: Eukaryota; Viridiplantae; Streptophyta; Magnoliopsida; Arecales; Arecaceae
Description: long non-coding RNA (EGUI_LNC018534)
Source: RNAcentral